This is a long non-coding RNA of Maniola jurtina (meadow brown), 194 nucleotides long. RefSeq lists it as uncharacterized. NCBI's taxonomy places the organism in Eukaryota, Metazoa, Arthropoda, Insecta, Lepidoptera, Nymphalidae. The record is from RefSeq and is a predicted model, not a curated record. The transcript has 3 exons.
AAAAAAUAUUUUCUUUAUGUUAAAAAAUUCAAAAAAUAUUUUUCGUAUAUGCCUUGUGAUGUCAUUAAUCACCUUCCGUACAGCGUGAUGUUAAUGUUAGAAAUAUAUAAAAAUCAUGUAUUUUAUUUAAUUAUUCUCUUUAAUAACGAAUUCUAGCCCCAUACUCUACCGCUAUACAAAAAAUCACGUCAUCC